This 770-nucleotide ribosomal RNA is filed under the name marine metagenome. RNAcentral describes it as "bacterial SSU rRNA". It matches the Rfam family "Bacterial small subunit ribosomal RNA", at positions 8 to 823 of the family's 1533-position model. The record is from RNAcentral.
AGAGUUUGAUCAUGGCUCAGAACGUACGCUGGCGGCACGCCUAACACAUGCAAGUCGAACGAAGUAGCAAUACUUAGUGGCAGACGGGUGAGUAACAUGUAGGAAUCUUCCCUAUGGCCUGGAAUAACACGAGGAAACUUGUGCUAAUACCGGAUAAGUCUUUACAGAGAAAGCUUUAUGCACCAUUGGAUGAGCCUGCACUUGAUUAGUUUGUUGGUGGGGUAAUGGCCUACCAAGACUUUGAUCAAUAGCUGAUUUGAGAGGAUGAUCAGCCACAUUGGGACUGAGACACGGCCCAAACUCCUACGGGAGGCAGCAGUGGGGAAUCUUGCACAAUGGAGGAAACUCUGAUGCAGCGAUGCCGCGUGAGUGAAGAAGGCCUUUGGGUUGUAAAGCUCUUUCGUCGGGGAAGAAAAUGACUGUACCCGAAUAAGAAGGUCCGGCUAACUUCGUGCCAGCAGCCGCGGUAAUACGAAGGGACCUAGCGUAGUUCGGAAUUACUGGGCUUAAAGAGUUCGUAGGUGGUUGAAAAAGUUGGUGGUGAAAUCCCAGAGCUUAACUCUGGAACUGCCAUCAAAACUUUUCAGCUAGAGUUUGAUAGAGGAAAGCAGAAUUUCUAGUGUAGAGGUGAAAUUCGUAGAUAUUAGAAAGAAUACCAAUUGCGAAGGCAGCUUUCUGGAUCAUUACUGACACUGAGGAACGAAAGCAUGGGUAGCGAAGAGGAUUAGAUACCCUCGUAGUCCAUGCCGUAAACGAUGUGUGUUAGACGU